This is a long non-coding RNA of Ziziphus jujuba (common jujube), 4389 nucleotides long. RefSeq lists it as uncharacterized. The transcript has 7 exons. NCBI's taxonomy places the organism in Eukaryota, Viridiplantae, Streptophyta, Magnoliopsida, Rosales, Rhamnaceae. The record is from RefSeq and is a predicted model, not a curated record.
UAUUGAAGAACAUAGAGUUAAAACGUAAUUUAUAUCUCCCUGACUCAAUUGGCAAGCCAAUAAAUUGGUAAAAAAUGAAAAGCGUUUGUUGAGCACUGCGUCACUGGGCUCUCUUCCGAUCAGCUUCAUCACCUUCCAAUUCGCCACCAUGACUGAGAUUAAAGCGGCGACAAAGUCAAACUCAAGUCAAGCCAAUCAAAGCGUUGACAAUUUCCUUCACAAAGAAGCUUCCCAUAAUGAAGAGGAUAGAGUUGCUUCAGAACACAACAGAGACUCAGAUGAUGGCCAAGAAAGUUGUAGGAUUAAGUCAAGUUCCUCAUAGAUCAAUUACCAUUCAUUCAUGAACAGAACACCCACAACAAGAUGGUCAAAACAAGAUAUAGAACUUCUCUAUCAGUGUCUAUUGUACUUUAAAAAUGGCAAAGCGUGAACUGAAGAUGAAUUUUAUGUAAAGCUAUGGGUUAUGAUUUCAAAGUUUGAGGAUUCAACUAAUGCCUGCCUUGAAGCAUCAUUUAGGCUGUUAAGAAGUUUGGUACAGAUUUUUCCAUGAUACAACAACUUUUUCCUGGUGGAUCACGACAUCAAAUCAAGUUGAAGUUUAAGAAAGAAGAGCAUCAACAUCCUUUACAGCUCUCAAAAGCUGUGACUAAUCAGUCAAAAGUGAUUUCCUUUAUGGCUUGACGUCAGUUGGUGUGCUUCGAAUAUAUGGUGUAUGGUGUAUGGCAUCUAUGUUGUGCUGGAAUAUAUGGUGUAUGGUGUAUGGUGUUAUGGUGUAUGGCUUCUAUGGUGUGCUGGGAUGUAUGGUGUAUGGAAUAAUGAUCUAACUUCUGCAUGCAGAUCAUUCCCAUUUUGAAUCAGUUAUUUAGCAACUGCAAAAAGAUGCUGCUCAUACAAAACAGGAGUACAAUAGAGACGGGUCAAUUGGUGUCACAUGGAAAGAGGCUGGGGAGGCAGAGAAGCCAAUUCAUGAUAUCAAUGACUUCUCUCUUUCCUAUUCUCUUCUGCUAUAAUGCUAGUUUUCUGCUAUGUGAUGCUGUAACCACAAUGAAACCUCAAAUGCCCGUUCUGGAACUCCACAAAAGUUGCUCCUAGAUCUAGAAGCAGAAGUGUAUUAUUCCUUGGCGGUUGGUCUAAACUAAAGCCUCACAAAUCUGUAUAUGGGUGGAUUUUUUAUGGUUUUGGAAGUGUCUUGAUUCAGAAUCCUAAUGUAUAUUUAUGUGUUAGCAGGAAGGAGGUACAAAAUCUGAGUUGGAUGAUGAGGUUGUUAAAGUUCAGAAAGCAGGUGUCGGUGAAGUUUGUUUUCCUGCAAAGUCUAAUGAAAGUGAUGAUGACUCGGAUAGAUGGUUUGAUUACAGUUAUUAGUAAGCUAACAUUCUUAUUCCGGAAGCUAAAUAAGGUCCUUAGUUGCGAAAAUAAUAAUAAUAAAUACAAAAAGGUAAAAUAUUGCAAUAUUAGUGUGGUCAUGAAAGCACAAACAGAAAACAAUAUCCAACCAAGCACAUAUACUAUAUACCAUGGCUAUGUUAUAUAUCAACAUCAUCAUCAUUGUCGUCAUUAUCAUCAUCAUGAUCGAAACAAAUGAGACAAUUUUCUUUUUUUCUCAUUUUGUAAAUUUUCUAAAUUUUGUGUGAAGAUUGUAUUGUAUGUGGGUGAUGAAGCGUGUAAUACCCAUCAGUUCAUCACUGGAUUCAAGGCGAGCUUCCUUCCUUUUUAUAUCCCUUUUUUCCACUAUAACAACCUCCGAAGGAUAAAGGGGUAAUUAAAGGGAAAAAGAAACCACAUUUACAGGAUUUCAUGUGGGUCUACUCCAUAAUCGACAUAACUAGGCUUUCAAUAAAGUUACAUCUGCAUGCAUGGCCGAUUGUCCUCCUUUUCCCUACACGAAUAUUUACAUCUUUCAAAAUGAUAUAUUAAUAUUUCUCCAAUAUAUAUGUCAUCCUCUCUUUGAUAAAAAAAAAGGAGAGGAUUUACCUGAUUCACAUCUCACUCCACUUACUCCAAGCCCCAAUUAAAAGGAGCUUCAGCCAGAAACGUCAGUUCUGUCGACUCCAGCACCUCCAUCAGCCUUGUCAACUCCAGCAGCUCUGGCAAUAUUGGUGAGGCAAAUGAUUUGGCUUUCCUUCUUGCUAUCUUCAUUUCCACUUUCAGUUUGAUGUUGAUUGAGAUCAGAAAGUGAAAUACGAGAUCUCAGUUUUGUUUUGAUGAUUCACGAGCUUAUAAGUUUGGAUUGGUUUCACUGCUCUUCGUUUAAGGUCACCAACUACAUGAUUAUAGGAAUCUGAAGAGGUGACCCUAACUUUAGGGUUUUCACGCUUUCAAAAUUAGCAUUUCACAAUCUCAGUGACUCAUAUAUAAUGAUACAGGUCCUGUCUCUCUGGCUCCGCUGAUUGUCUUAAUUUUCUUGGUUGCAGCACCUCUUCUUUUCUUUUAAGUAAUGUCCAAUACUGUGUUUGGUUGCUGAGAAAAUUUUGUAAAAAAUUUUUAAAAAUUGGAAUCUUUUAACUAAUUGUAGGUUGGAGCAGCAUCUUUUAUUUUCCUUCUUGAAUUUUUAUAUCUUAAAUCAAAUAAAUGUUCAUUUUUGUUUUUAUUAUUAUUAAUUUUUUUUUGUGGGUACAACACUUGCUAAUUAUAUAUUGCUGAAUAAUUUCGGCUAUGUAGAUUUGUAAUGAUUUUUUGAUUGAACAGAAGUUAGUGGAAUUAGAGUUUAAAAGUUUGGAUAGAAUCCAACAGGCAAAUAACAAACGAUUUGAAAUUGGUUAAUAAGCAAUAGAAUCCCCAUCUAAUUUGUGUUUUAGGUGUUCUUUUAUAUUAAGGACUUUUGUUUCCCAUGUCUUCGUACAUCAGAUAUUUAGCAAGUAUGUUUCCAUCAAGACAUAAUGACUUAUUCUGGUAAUUGAUUCUGGUGUGUCUUCCUUGUUGCUAAUUCUGUUAUAUGUGAAUGAACAGGAGCCAGUUUCUCAUGUUGUGGCCUGUCCUUCCCCAAAUGACAUUUUUGAGGGGUUUAAAUUUUUUGUAAAUCUGGCUCUAAUAGCAAAUCAAGACAUUCCAAUUUUGAACGUAGAAGCUGAAGCAGCGCAGCUUGAAAAUGGUGCUUCUUUUUAUCUCCUUGUUCUUCUUUUUUUUUUUUUUUCCUUCCCAUGAAAAGGUUUGAAAGUUACCACUUUAUAAUACAUAAGGAGGAAUGUAUUUUCAAGCUUUCUGGUGAGGGGGUAGCUUUCAUAUGUGUCUAAAAAUCAUAGGAAAUCAUUAGUGUUGGUUUUGUAUAUGAAGAGAUGUGGACGUUUUCUUAGUUUUAUAAGCAACUUCUUAUAAGUGAUCUGUAUUUUGAUAUGUGUCAAUAGGAAGAAUAAGCAGAUGCAAUUAGAAUCACCGAAAGUGUUACAACUUCAAGUUUUUGUCAAAAGUUUGCAAAAGUAAGCCUGUGAAAUUAAACCAGUAAGAGCUGCAAUUGGACAUUGUUAUUAAUUAAGCACUUUCAUUCAUUCAUUACGAGCUUUCUGGUUCUUGGGUAUUCUAAUUGCAAUUUUGCGUAGUUUCUCCUUUGCUCGCUGGGAACAACAUUUAGUUUGUAUACAUAUUAGAUGCUCCUAUUUAUUUCUCAAUUGUGAUUUAGACAGAGGAAAAACUCUAGAUUCCGUUGCAGAAUUUCACCAGCAGAAUGGGGCAGUGUGGUAUUUAACUGAAAUUUGUGAAACAGGGAAUCUAACUUUUUCUUAUAUUGGUUAUGAUGAUGUAGUUUAUGAUGCUUAUAAGAUUACGUUGUAUAUAGAGUCUUGAUAGCCCUCAGAAGAUACAGUAAUCUUGAUUCUUCCGUCAUAUGUUAUAGAUGGUUGAAAGGAUUAAUUUGCAUGGCAUAUCAGAAAAAGACCUCCAUCAAAGUGGAGGUAUUUGGUGAAUUACGUUUAUAGGUCAAACAACUUUUGGCUGAUGAUCCUACGAACUCAGAAUAUGCUGACAUGAAAAGGGAGCUCAACGAGACAAUUUUUGUUUAAGACUUUUAUCCAUCGGAUUAUGGUUUUCUAUCAUUUGGGUUUUUUUGGCAUUGUCCGCUCAGAUUUUGAUAAUUGAUAGCCUGCUAUGUUCCUUUGUAUUUUUCCUAUAUUUUGUAGGAUGUCGGUGAUGAUAUAAACGAUUGAUCGAAGGACCUGUUAUCCACCGGAGGAUGACAGUAAAAGAGGCAUUGCUUUCCCACAAAUGGACAUAACCAUUCUUGGAGACCGCAAAAUGAAUAUACGAGAAAAAUGAAAGACCAUAGUAUAGCUUAAUAUUAUAAAAUUAGACGUGCCUUUAACAUACCUUUUUUAUGUAGUUUCUACUGCCUAAGAUAUUUUGAACUGUCUCUUUGUAAUAAUGGAUUAUUAUUUUGAUUAAUCAAUUGUUUUUUUUCCC